Molecule: transfer RNA, 72 nt
Filed under: Allostreptomyces psammosilenae
Lineage: Bacteria; Bacillati; Actinomycetota; Actinomycetes; Kitasatosporales; Streptomycetaceae
Rfam family: tRNA
About the family: Transfer RNA (tRNA) molecules are approximately 80 nucleotides in length. Their secondary structure includes four short double-helical elements and three loops (D, anti-codon, and T loops). Further hydrogen bonds mediate the characteristic L-shaped molecular structure. tRNAs have two regions of fundamental functional importance: the anti-codon, which is responsible for specific mRNA codon recognition, and the 3' end, to which the tRNAs corresponding amino acid is attached (by aminoacyl-tRNA synthetases). tRNAs cope with the degeneracy of the genetic code in two manners: having more than one tRNA (with a specific anti-codon) for a particular amino acid; and 'wobble' base-pairing, i.e. permitting non-standard base-pairing at the 3rd anti-codon position.
Source: Rfam by way of RNAcentral
UCCGCCGUGGUGUAACUGGCAGCACAAUGUCUUUUGGCGUCAUUGGUUCGGGUUCGAGUCCUGACGGCGGAG